RNAcentral lists this long non-coding RNA (1093 nucleotides) under Lupinus angustifolius (narrow-leaved blue lupine). RNAcentral describes it as "long non-coding RNA (LANG_LNC002168)". Lineage: Eukaryota; Viridiplantae; Streptophyta; Magnoliopsida; Fabales; Fabaceae. The record is from RNAcentral.
UUUUGGUUAGCUUAUUUAGCCAAGUGGUAGAGUAUUUAAGAAAUAACUGCUUUGACCCUUGCCAUGUGUCACAAUCACUUAAACAAGAGACUCAAACAAAUUCAAUAAUACUAAGUACUAUUUCUUAAACAACGGGCGUUUAUUCAAAUUGUACAUGCUUGAUUCCUCUUAAGCAAUGUUUCGAGUUCGAGUCAUGUGGAUGGAAAAAAUGUCCGCUAGGAGAGUUAGCCCCACAUACAUGUGAAUAUUCACAGUUCUGACAGGAUUGCCUCCAGUAAGAUAAUACUUGUGGGAAACCAAAAAAAUAAUGAUUAAUGUAUAUUACUCACUCCCACUCAAGCUCACGUGCCUUUCUAAAUAUUAGACAACUUCAAGCAAUGUUUACACACAAUUCAACUAUUCACAUUAAGUACUAGCAUAAUUUAGUAAUGUAACACAAUAGCCUAAGAUCAAAUACAUAUCCAGCAAAAAUUCUUCUUGAGGGAAGCAUAGAAACAAAAAUUUGACUUUGCCCAACUACAUGGCCACUUGAGGAAUGCAAACGAUUCAUAUACUUAGCAUGCAUUGUGAUGAAUGCCUUGUCCCGAAACUUGUGUUCCUUCCUGUUCAGUGGUUAAAUAUGUAUCAACUUGGGUUAUCCCAUGCUUAUUCUGCUCAUGCUCUUCUUGAUUAUGGUUGGAUGAUCUAAUUUCUUGCAUAUAUGACAGCCCAAGAGUUCCACAACAAUCUCGAAAAAUAAUAAGACACCCUGUUGUUACCGUAGCUGAGUCACGACCAGGUCGCUCUCUUUAAGACUUUUCGUGUGCACUGUAAGAACCGAUCUCGAAUACACCCACCACAAUAUGGCUACCAGUGCCAAUUCUCGAAAUUACCCACAAUAUGGCUACCAGUGUCAGUUCUCAAAAUGCCCAUAAUAUGGCUACCUGUGCCAAUUCUUUCCCUCAAUACUGACUACCAGUGUCAGUUCUCGAAAUUCCCACAAUAUGGCUACCUAUGCCAUUUCUUAGUGCCACGGAAAGAAAGGGGAAGAAGUUUACCGGAAAUGCAUCGGCGGAAAAUAUGAGGGAGAAAGAAAAAGUUGAAUUAAAGCGCA